GACGAACGCUGGCGGCGUGGAUUAGGCAUGCAAGUCGAACGCGAAAGAUAUCCUUCGGGAGAUCGAGUAGAGUGGCGGACGGGUGAGUAACGCGUAGGUAUCUGCCUUUAAGUGGGGGAUAGCCCGAAGAAAUUCGGAUUAAUACCGCAUGUGGAACUUCGGUUCUAAAGAUGGCCUCUGUUUCAAGCUAUCGCUUAGAGAUGAGCCUGCGUCCUAUUAGCUAGUUGGUAAGGUAAUGGCUUACCAAGGCGAUGAUAGGUAGGCGGCUUUAACGAGUGGUCGCCCACACUGGGAUUGAGAUACGGCCCAGACUCCUACGGGAGGCAGCAGUCGAGAAUAGUCUACAAUGGAGGAAACUCUGAUAGUGCGACGCCGCGUGGAUGAAGAAGCAUUUCGGUGUGUAAAAUCCUUUUCUUUGUGAGCAAUGCCUGUAUGAUCAAUAGUUUUACAGGAGAGAUAUUAGCAAAGGAAUAAGCUCCGGCUAACUCCGUGCCAGCAGCCGCGGUAACACGGGGGGAGCAAGCGUUGUCCGGAAUUACUG
This 541-nucleotide ribosomal RNA is filed under the name uncultured bacterium. Its description in RNAcentral is "bacterial SSU rRNA". It matches the Rfam family "Bacterial small subunit ribosomal RNA", at positions 28 to 556 of the family's 1533-position model. The record is from RNAcentral.